Molecule: unclassified non-coding RNA, 458 nt
Filed under: Hevea brasiliensis (rubber tree)
Lineage: Eukaryota; Viridiplantae; Streptophyta; Magnoliopsida; Malpighiales; Euphorbiaceae
Source: RNAcentral
UUUUUUUUUACACGCUCCAAAACACAUAUUGUUAUAUACUUAAAAAUUAACAUGAUAGAGUGAUAAGUUCCUUUAAAACACGCUUUUCUAAUCUGAAAAUUACAUAAGCAGUGAUAUAUUAAAUACAACUUAAAAUCACAUAACAAUCCACCUUUAAUUACCACAAUAAACAGGCAUUGCACAAUAAGAGGUGCCAGAGGUUCAUGUAUAAUGGGAACUGUAGGGUCAAGCACAACCCCAUGAAAUCAAUAACUACUCAGUCCAGUCCACUGCUCCAAUGAAAGAGUUUUAUCCAGCUGCAGGGAGAGGUUCAUCUUGCAUGAGCAGUUGCCAAACUAGUUUUAACAUUUACAUGAAUUUGAGCAUGCAUACUGAGGACAAUAAACCUCCUUUACUGCAUGUUUCCCCUUUCUUAAUACUUCAUCUUCUUUUGCUGCUUUAUCAUUCUUUUGAAACAU